RNAcentral lists this ribosomal RNA (235 nucleotides) under uncultured bacterium. RNAcentral describes it as "partial 16S ribosomal RNA". It matches the Rfam family "Bacterial small subunit ribosomal RNA", at positions 96 to 334 of the family's 1533-position model. The record is from RNAcentral.
UGGCGGACGGGUGAGUAAUGUCUGGGAAACUGCCUGAUGGAGGGGGAUAACUACUGGAAACGGUAGCUAAUACCGCAUAACGUCGCAAGACCAAAGAGGGGGACCUUCGGGCCUCUUGCCAUCGGAUGUGCCCAGAUGGGAUUAGCUAGUAGGUGGGGUAAAGGCUCACCUAGGCGACGAUCCCUAGCUGGUCUAAGAGGAUGACCAGCCACACUGGAACUGAGACACGGUCCAG